Molecule: long non-coding RNA, 1170 nt
Filed under: Heterocephalus glaber (naked mole-rat)
Lineage: Eukaryota; Metazoa; Chordata; Mammalia; Rodentia; Bathyergidae
Description: lncRNA (ENSHGLG00000042610.1)
Source: RNAcentral
UUCCAUUUUUUUCCUUUUCUCAUAUUUUUUCUUUUCCCUUCUCUUCUUUCCCCUACCCCUCCCACUUCCCCUGCUCCUUUAGACCUUUUCUUCCUGUUACACAAUAUCCAUUAUCCAUUUUAAAAAUUACAAUAUCAAGAUCUAGGAGACAUUACCACAGAUUUUACAGAAUUUAAAAGGAUAUAGAAAGCAUAUUUCAAAAAUCUGUUUUGAAAUAAAUUUGACAACUUCUAAGAAGUAGCUGGAAGACAAAUUAAUGAAACUAACUCUGGAGGAAAUAUAAAAUUUGAAUAGCACCUAUUAAAGAAAGUAUAUUCCUAGCUUGAAAACGUACCUAUAUGACAACAGGCUCGUAUACAUUUUAACUGAUAAAUUAUAUCAAACAAUUAAAGCAGAAAAAAAAAGGAACACUUCUCCCCUCAUUUUAGGAAAUCAACAUUGCGCUAAUCCUAAAUUGGAUAAAGAUAAUAGAAGAAAAAGUAUGAACAUAGAUAGAAAUGGGUUUAACAAAACAAACUAUUAGAAAUCAGAUCUGGCAGUAUGUAGAAAGUGGUUUUAUUAUAGGGAUGGCAGUGUUGGUUCAGCAUUGGAUGAUCCACCCCCAAAAGUCAUCAUUUUAACAGAGGAAAGGAAAAAGCCGUAUGACCCUGUCACUAGUUGGAGAAAAAUGACUGGACUAAAUUCCACAGCUGUUCAUGGUAAAAGCUAUCAGGAGACUAGAAGUAGAACAGAACCUUCUCAACAGAUUAAAGACAUGUACUCCAUACUUCCAGCGAGAACACCUUAUAUGAAUGGAGAAGAUACAAUGCUUUCUCCUUAAGGUGGGGAACAAGGGCAGACAUGCAUACUCUUCACCUGUCCAUUAAACUUUGAAACCUAGGCCCAAACCAAAAUAGUCUGGCAAUAAAAUGACACAAUUAGGAUAGGAUUGGCAAGGUAGAAGCAAAAUCUUUAUAUGUAGAUGAAAUGAUCAUCCACAGAGAAAAUACUAAGAAAUCUCUAGGAGCCCCUAGAACUUGUACUUGAAUUUAGCAGGAUUAGAAAUCACAAGGUGUAUAUAAAAAUUCAGGUCUAUGUAUACUUGCUAUAAAUGAAGAAUUGGAUAUUGAAAUUUAGAAGUUAUGUAGGAGUGCAAAGGACCUAGAAAAGUAAAAAGAAAAAGAAAAAAAA